This is a non-coding RNA of Stegodyphus mimosarum, 73 nucleotides long. NCBI's taxonomy places the organism in Eukaryota, Metazoa, Arthropoda, Arachnida, Araneae, Eresidae. The record is from Rfam.
GCCUUAGUGGUGUAGCGGUCAGCACGCUCGACGCGUAACCGAGAGGUCCGCGGUUCGAUUCCCGGCGAAAGCG